UGAGGAAUCUUGCGCAAUGGGGGAAACCCUGACGCAGCAACGCCGCGUGAGUGAGGAAGGUCUUCGGAUCGUAAAGCUCUGUCAGUUGGAAAGAAAUGUCCGAGAGUCAAUACCUUUCAGGCUUGACGGUACCAACAGAGGAAGCACCGGCUAACUCCGUGCCAGCAGCCGCGGUAAUACGGGGGGUGCAAGCGUUGUUCGGAAUUAUUGGGCGUAAAGAGCGUGUAGGCGGCCGGAUAUGUCAGAUGUGAAAACCCCGGGCUUAACCCGGGAAGUGCAUUUGAAACUGUCCGGCUCGAGUAGGGGUGAGGGAAGUGGAAUUCCUGGUGUAGAGGUGAAAUUCGUAGAUAUCAGGAGGAACACCGAUGGCGAAGGCGACUUCCUGGCCCUAUACUGACGCUGAGACGCGAGAGCGUGGGUAGCAAACAG
Molecule: ribosomal RNA, 429 nt
Filed under: uncultured bacterium
Lineage: Bacteria
Description: bacterial SSU rRNA
Rfam family: Bacterial small subunit ribosomal RNA
Source: RNAcentral